CGAGGCAGAGAUGCGUAGCUGAUGGGAAGCAGGUUAAUAUUCCUGCACCGUCGUAUGAUGCGAUGGGGGGACGGAUCGCGGAAGGUUGUCUGACUGUUGGAAUAGUCAGUUUCUGGUUCAUAGAAGGUGCUUAGGCAAAUCCGGGCACGUAAUUCAAGGGACUGGGACGAAGAGUUUAGGCUCUGUAGCAAUCGGAAGUGGUUCCAAGAAAAGCCUCUAAGCUUCAGUCAUACGAGACCGUACCGCAAACCGACACAGGUGGGCGAGAUGAGUA
RNAcentral lists this ribosomal RNA (274 nucleotides) under Duganella guangzhouensis. RNAcentral's name for it is "partial 23S ribosomal RNA". It matches the Rfam family "Bacterial large subunit ribosomal RNA", at positions 1397 to 1678 of the family's 2925-position model. The record is from RNAcentral. RNAcentral also lists the same sequence under 1 other name. Lineage: Bacteria; Pseudomonadati; Pseudomonadota; Betaproteobacteria; Burkholderiales; Oxalobacteraceae.